GAUGAACGCUGGCGGCGUGCCUAAUACAUGCAAGUCGAGCGAACAGAUGAGGAGCUUGCUCCUCUGACGUUAGCGGCGGACGGGUGAGUAACACGUGGAUAACCUACCUAUAAGACUGGGAUAACUUCGGGAAACCGGAGCUAAUACCGGAUAAUAUAUUGAACCGCAUGGUUCAAUAGUGAAAGACGGUUUUGCUGUCACUUAUAGAUGGAUCCGCGCCGCAUUAGCUAGUUGGUAAGGUAACGGCUUACCAAGGCAACGAUGCGUAGCCGACCUGAGAGGGUGAUCGGACACACUGGAACUGAGACACGGUCCAGACUCCUACGGGAGGCAGCAGUAGGGAAUCUUCCGCAAUGGGCGAAAGCCUGACGGAGCAACGCCGCGUGAGUGAUGAAGGUCUUCGGAUCGUAAAACUCUGUUAUUAGGGAAGAACAAAUGUGUAAGUAACUAUGCACGUAUUGACGGUACCUAAUCAGAAAGCCACGGCUAACUACGUG
Molecule: ribosomal RNA, 497 nt
Filed under: uncultured bacterium
Lineage: Bacteria
Description: partial 16S ribosomal RNA
Rfam family: Bacterial small subunit ribosomal RNA
Source: RNAcentral